This is a long non-coding RNA of Daphnia pulicaria, 169 nucleotides long. RefSeq lists it as uncharacterized. The transcript is spliced from 2 exons. The record is from RefSeq and is a predicted model, not a curated record. Lineage: Eukaryota; Metazoa; Arthropoda; Branchiopoda; Diplostraca; Daphniidae.
UUCAUGUGCACUCAACGAUAACGUUCUCCACUUCAAGCAAUUACAUCUUCUCACAUACACAGAAUUAAGAUUUUUGUUUCAAUAAAAUUACCAGGUAAACGUGAAGCAUAAAAUAAUGGAAAAAGAAAUCAGAGCGUGGUCUAGGGAUAACCUUUCUCUAGCGUGGUCG